RNAcentral lists this small RNA (328 nucleotides) under uncultured bacterium. RNAcentral describes it as "bacterial SSU rRNA". It matches the Rfam family "Bacterial small subunit ribosomal RNA", at positions 70 to 358 of the family's 1533-position model. The record is from RNAcentral.
GAAAGGGGGGCAACCCCCGAGUAGAGCGGCGAACGGGUGAGUAACGCGUGGAUGAUCUGCCUCCGAGUGGGGAAUAACAGCGGGAAACUGCUGCUAAUACCGCAUGACAUCCUUGGUUCACACACCGAGGAUCAAAGCCGGGGACCGCAAGGCCUGGCGCUUGGAGAUGAGCCCGCGUCCGAUUAGCUAGUAGGCGGGGUAACGGCCCACCUAGGCGACGAUCGGUAGCCGGCCUGAGAGGGCGGACGGCCACACUGGGACUGAGACACGGCACCACUCCUACGGGAGGCUGCAGUGGGUAUUUCUAGAAAUCUCCUACAUAUUUCAG